GUGUCCUAAAAAUACAUAAAUUCGAUGGUUAUUUGUCAUGGAAAAAUAUAUUUUUCGAUAAUACUGUUUGUAAAACUUCGUAAUUAAAAAAAAAACUAUUGGAUGUACUUCAACGAAGUUAUUUAAAGUUAGAGAUAACCUAUUCAACGUAUAUACGCAGUUACUAAAUGAAAAUAUCGUGCUAUCAGGGCUGUCUAUAUGCGGCAUAAACAAUACGUUUAAAUAUGCACGUAAAUAUUUGACAAACUUACGUUAGGUUAUCUUAAUUAUUCACGUUGUGUUGCAUAAUAUGUACAUGUGCGAUGACACAUACUGAUAUCUGAAAUGCCUAAAUAUUUCAUAAAGAAUCGUGGUAACACCUUUGUCAAACGUAUAAAUUACAUACUUUUCUGUGCCUACUGCUGAUAUGAUUAAAUUUCGAAAACGUUCGAACGACGUUCUAGAAAAUUUUCAGUUCCAGUACAUUCUCGGUAGUACGUUUUCAUCGAAAUUUCAUUGAGUAUUUUCGUCUCUGACAAGAAUAAAAAAAAAUUGCGUUUAUUUUGGAAAAGUCAAAUGAAAAAUGAUUCAUCUUAUUCGCCUAUUUAACAAACAAUUAUACGACACAAUACAAAAGUUUUACAUCAGGUGUUCAAAAUACUAGUGACAUUACUGUGUACUACGCACGCGCAAUGUUUUUCGAGCGGCGUAUAUAAGAAGGUGCAGCCGGGUGCACUCGGACAGUAUCGAAACAAAAGCGCUAAAAGAGAGACGAAUUUGUCGACAGUGUAUAUAUACAGCUGCUUCAUGAAUAAUCUUAAGGACACGGAAGCAAUGUCUGAUUACUACGUUGACGAAUACGAGCAUUUUAACUACGAUUACGACAAACAUAUUUUCACCGGCCACAGUGGUAAACAACGAAGUAAACGGGAAGCUCUUACGCACACCAAUCAUUUCGAUCCUUGCGGCCAUUCUAGAAAGAUCUUGACAAAAUUGAUGAAUUCCGAGCACAAUAAACGACACAAUGGGAAAGCUAAAGCAUAAAUUGACCUUGGGUUUUCCUGUCCAUACUUCCGGGAAGAAUAUUUAUCAACUCUGACAACUACAAUUUCUUCUUGAAGAUACUGGAACAUAUUACAUAAAGUUUUUUAUCUUUUAUCUUCAGUAAUGCAUUUACACACUGAACAUAGAUUAUCACUUAGAAUAAGAUUAGAACUUGGGAUAAAUGUUUGUUGCAUCUUGUAAUCAUCAUUUAGUCGUAUCACAAUUCAUAGUAUAAAUAAAUACUACAUAUUUAGGUAGGA
Molecule: long non-coding RNA, 1283 nt
Organism: Megachile rotundata (alfalfa leafcutting bee)
Lineage: Eukaryota; Metazoa; Arthropoda; Insecta; Hymenoptera; Megachilidae
Product: nuclear protein 1
Source: RefSeq, a predicted model, not a curated record